GUGGUGACUGCACCUCGGUCGGCUUACGCUUUAUAAUUACGAUGCCUCCUUGUUCGAGGAACAAACUCCCUCUCCGAUACACUGAAAACUAGGAAUUAAGAUCACUGACGUAUAAAUUAAUGAUUAUUAGCGCAGAAUAUUACAUGCUUUCCACUGGUAGCACAUUUUAAGAAAUUAAGCUAUAAAUUGAGGAUAACUAUUCGCAAUAGUCAAUAAACACAUCAGGAACACACCACAAGGCGCUUAUCUUUUCGCUGUACAAAUCAAAGUGACGCGUGCGAGCGUUUUGUUCAUAAUAUAGCACUGCACACUCAUAGCCAAAGGAUCUUGUGCGUAUGAAUUGAAUUCAGCGUUUCAAUGUGUGAAUAACUAUUUCCGUGCUUCGUGCGUGUGUCGCGUCUGACUUCAUGUGAGGAACAGCAGCCAAUAAUCGGACAUUGGUACUUUAAAUUCUGCCCCGGGUCAUUCAAAGCGCACAGCCACGCGCUAUACUGAAGAAAGAGGAAGAAAGUUGAUGGAAUCUAAAGACCAAUGUAAAGAUAAUUUUGGCUGUCGCUCCAGUGAUAAGGUGGCAGGAGGGAGACAGAGAGAAACGAGGCCUGACCUUCCCAGACGGAGAGUGUGAGCUCUGCCACUGUCCUCCACACCGGAGAGAUGACUGCUUCACAUCGCCUUCGAGAACGAUUGCGUGUGUGUUUGAGGUAGAAGUGUUGAGACGACACUUGAAGAUGCUGGUGAGGGACGGAAAAGUGAAAAAAAAUGUACCUUCUGCUUUUAUGCAUGCAACACAUCUGCUUGUCUGAUUCGGCACAAUAAAAAUCACUGCUGACACAACAA
This is a long non-coding RNA of Labeo rohita (rohu), 837 nucleotides long. RefSeq lists it as uncharacterized. The transcript is spliced from 2 exons. The record is from RefSeq and is a predicted model, not a curated record. Lineage: Eukaryota; Metazoa; Chordata; Actinopteri; Cypriniformes; Cyprinidae.